UGUGGGCCCUGCUGGUCUCACGUAGACUCUCACACAGCUGCAUUAUGUUGAGAGCCUAACAGGAGAGGGACAUUAAAAUAGCCUCUCAUUCUUCAGGGUCUUAAUACACAUGGCAUCUAAUCAUUUGCUAGUCUAGCCCAAGUUUUUUAUGUGGCAGCUGGAUCCCAAGAGGGAGUAUUCCAAGAGGACAAGUCCUAAGUUACUGCUGAUCGAGCCUCUGCCUGCAUCAGGCUUGCAAAUGUCCAGUUGGCCAAAGCAAGUCACAUGGCCAAUCCCUGAGUCAGUGUGGGAGGAGAGCACAUAAGGACAGGAAUACUGGGAGGCAUGUCUCAUUGGGAACCACCAAAGCAACAGUCCAUUACAGGCCUUCCUUGGGCAAGUGAUUUGGACACUGAGCCUCAGUUUCCUCAUCCUACUAUGGAAGCAGUACCACCUACUUGGCAGCAUUGUUGUGAGGACCAAGUGAAUAGCAUGAUGUCUGACCAGAAUCAUUAGUAGAUAAGUAUUCACUGUUUUGAUUGUUAAACUACAGGCACCCUAAUGGCACAACUCUCAUUCAUUUAUGUGUACCCAGUGCCUAACAUGGGCCUUGUGCUGGACAUCGUUUGCUGGGUGGAUAAAAUGGAAUGAAGCAGACAAGCCCUAAGCCUAAGAGCUCAGCUAGAGCAAAGCUGCAGCAUUGAGAAGACACAGCAAGCUCUUACCUCCCAGUAGGUGACCAGCAGAACCAGGAAGCCACCUGUUAUUCAAGGGACUAUCAGUGACCACAUGAUGGUGGAAGCCAUAGAAAUGCAAGAUGAUCUGUGUUGCUGGCAAAGCCAAUGUGUGAGAAUGUGACAGGAAACAGGAGCUACAGAAGACACACAUCUUAAGAUGGUUGGUCUUGUUUGAAGAGGUAAGACUCACAUACCUGUAAGCCUUAAAAAAAAAAAAAGUACCUCUGAUUAGUUCAGCCUGUAGAAUCCUUCUAUCCAAAGAAAACCUUGAUGAGGACUUGAAAGAGAGUAGGCUUGAGAUAGGCAUUUCAGAUACGAGGAGCACCACAGGUCUGGAGGCAGGGCCAGGCCAAAAAAGGAGGCAAGUCUUAGGGCUGCAGAGGUUGCUGAUUUGGGGACACAAGAAUGCAAAGGAAAAUCUUCAACUGUUCUGUCAUGGUGCUCAUAGUACAGACCUGUGAUGAAAUUUGAACAACACUUCUGUUUUCCUUUUUCCUGCUGUCCUACCUCCCCCUGCCUUUAUUGCCCUCUUG
Molecule: long non-coding RNA, 1249 nt
Filed under: Pan troglodytes (chimpanzee)
Lineage: Eukaryota; Metazoa; Chordata; Mammalia; Primates; Hominidae
Description: long non-coding RNA NONPTRT010543
Source: RNAcentral